AGUGAACGCUGGCGGUAGGCCUAACACAUGCAAGUCGAACGGCAGCACAGUAAGAGCUUGCUCUUACGGGUGGCGAGUGGCGGACGGGUGAGGAAUACAUCGGAAUCUACUUUUUCGUGGGGGAUAACGUAGGGAAACUUACGCUAAUACCGCAUACGACCUACGGGUGAAAGCAGGGGAUCUUCGGACCUUGCGCGAUUGAAUGAGCCGAUGUCGGAUUAGCUAGUUGGCGGGGUAAAGGCCCACCAAGGCGACGAUCCGUAGCUGGUCUGAGGGGAUGAUCAGCCACACUGGAACUGAGACACGGUCCAGACUCCUACGGGAGGCAGCAGUGGGGAAUAUUGGAUAAUGGGCGCAAGCCUGAUCCAGCCAUACCGCGUGGGUGAAGAAGGCCUUCGGGUUGUAAAGCCCUUUUGUUGGGAAAGAAAAGCAGCAGGUUAAUACCCCGCUGUUCUGACGGUACCCAAAGAAUAAGCACCGGCUAACUUCGUG
Molecule: ribosomal RNA, 492 nt
Filed under: uncultured bacterium
Lineage: Bacteria
Description: partial 16S ribosomal RNA
Rfam family: Bacterial small subunit ribosomal RNA
Source: RNAcentral